GGCCCUUUGGCCCAAUGGUAAGGCGUCUGACUACGAACAAGUCUGCAUGCUUGACAAGUUAUCAGGAGAUUCUGGGUUCGAGCCCCAGGAGGGUCA
Molecule: transfer RNA, 96 nt
Filed under: Hypoxylon rubiginosum
Lineage: Eukaryota; Fungi; Ascomycota; Sordariomycetes; Xylariales; Hypoxylaceae
Description: tRNA-Arg
Rfam family: tRNA
About the family: Transfer RNA (tRNA) molecules are approximately 80 nucleotides in length. Their secondary structure includes four short double-helical elements and three loops (D, anti-codon, and T loops). Further hydrogen bonds mediate the characteristic L-shaped molecular structure. tRNAs have two regions of fundamental functional importance: the anti-codon, which is responsible for specific mRNA codon recognition, and the 3' end, to which the tRNAs corresponding amino acid is attached (by aminoacyl-tRNA synthetases). tRNAs cope with the degeneracy of the genetic code in two manners: having more than one tRNA (with a specific anti-codon) for a particular amino acid; and 'wobble' base-pairing, i.e. permitting non-standard base-pairing at the 3rd anti-codon position.
Source: RNAcentral